Molecule: ribosomal RNA, 274 nt
Filed under: uncultured bacterium
Lineage: Bacteria
Description: partial 16S ribosomal RNA
Rfam family: Bacterial small subunit ribosomal RNA
Source: RNAcentral
AUACGGAGGGUGCAGGCGUUGUCCGGAUUUAUUGGGUUUAAAGGGUGUGUAGGCGGUGUAUUAAGUCAGUGGUGAAAGCCUGCGGCUCAACCGUAGAACUGCCAUUGAUACUGACACACUUGAGUAUGGACGAGGUAGGCGGAAUUUAUGGUGUAGCGGUGAAAUGCAUAGAUACCAUAAAGAACACCGAUAGCGAAGGCAGCUUACUAGGCCAUAACUGACGCUGAGGCACGAAAGCGUGGGGAGCGAACAGGAUUAGAAACCCCAGUAGUCC